This 253-nucleotide ribosomal RNA is filed under the name uncultured bacterium. Its description in RNAcentral is "partial 16S ribosomal RNA". It matches the Rfam family "Bacterial small subunit ribosomal RNA", at positions 524 to 776 of the family's 1533-position model. The record is from RNAcentral.
UACGGAGGGUGCAAGCGUUAAUCGGAAUUACUGGGCGUAAAGCGCACGCAGGUGGCUGAGUCAGUCGAUUGUGAAAGCCCUGGGCUUAACCUGGGAAUUGCAGUCGAUACUACUCAGCUAGAGUAUGGGAGAGGGCAGUGGAAUUCCCGGUGUAGCGGUGAAAUGCGUAGAUAUCAGGAGGAACACCUGUGGUGUAGACAGCUUACUGGACCAUUUCUGACGCUGAGACACGAAAGCGUGGGGAGCAAACGGG